GGAUGUGAGGGAGAUCUGGCUGCGACAUCUGUCACUCCAUUGAUCGCCAGGGUUGAUUCGGCUGAUCUGGCUGGCUAGGCGGAUGUCCCCUUCCUCCCUCACUGCUCCAUGUGCGUCUCUCCCCAAGCUGCGCGCUCAGUCGAAGAGGACAACCAUCCCCAAUAAAGGAGGACCUUUCUUGGGUCAAGGGUAUAUGAGUAGCUGCGUUCCCCUGCUAGAACCUCCAAACAAGCUCUCAAAAUGUAGCAGGGUCUUUUCUCUAUUAUAUUUAGUUCAGUAGUAACUUUCAUUGAUAGUAUUCCUUC
Molecule: small nuclear RNA, 305 nt
Filed under: Castor canadensis (American beaver)
Lineage: Eukaryota; Metazoa; Chordata; Mammalia; Rodentia; Castoridae
Description: 7SK RNA (ENSCCNG00000008156.1)
Rfam family: 7SK RNA
About the family: 7SK was discovered as an abundant small nuclear RNA in the mid-70s but a possible function has only recently been suggested.
Source: RNAcentral